Molecule: long non-coding RNA, 688 nt
Organism: Nomascus leucogenys (northern white-cheeked gibbon)
Lineage: Eukaryota; Metazoa; Chordata; Mammalia; Primates; Hylobatidae
Source: RefSeq, a predicted model, not a curated record
UUCAGGUACAAGCGCCUUCAGCCAGCAGAUGGUUCAUGUCCUUCGAGGCCGCAACAUAUGGGGUGGAAGGAGUGUUGGGAGGUGAGGCUGAGAAUGGGGAGAGCAAUCCAGGGUCGCCAGGGUAGGAGCCGCAGCUGGCCCUUGGCCGCCCGGAGCACACUGAGGCUUCUGGAGCGCGCGAGGGACCCCGCGGGACCGGACCAAGGCCGCCUGCGCUCCGCAAAGGCGCGGGCACUGGGCGGGGACGCGGGGGCGGGAGCCAGAGGGGUGGGAGGCGGAGGGAUGGACGGUCCCGCAGGGCCAGGAUGGCCAGGGCGAGGCUGCUGGGAAAGGCAAGACCCUCGCCCCUACGCCGCCAGCUGGGCUUUUCUCCUUCCUCGCCCGCCGCGUGUUCCAGGGCGCGACCCCGCUCCGUCCAGCCGCUGGCUCCGAGGCUGAACCCCAGCAUCUGUGUAUCCUGCUUUUGUUCUUCAUGUUCCAGCAACCCAUAUCCUUUCAGACCACUGGAGCUCAGGACCCACUGUGUUUAUACAGGUCUUCAAGAAACCUCCAUACCCAAGAAAAAAUAGAAAGCAACCAUGUUCUACUAUGGUGUCAAAAAUAGUUGAACAUCGACAUCAAAAAGAUUCUUUCUGUCUGCUUAUUCACAUAUUCUGGUUUGAAUUAAAAGUGAUGAAAUUAUCCUAAA